RNAcentral lists this long non-coding RNA (1724 nucleotides) under Manihot esculenta (cassava). Its description in RNAcentral is "long non-coding RNA (MESC_LNC000626)". The record is from RNAcentral. Lineage: Eukaryota; Viridiplantae; Streptophyta; Magnoliopsida; Malpighiales; Euphorbiaceae.
UUUAAGUAUUGAAUUGGCAAACGCAGUGGCGUGCCGGCAGUUCCAAGAGAAAUAAAGUAAGAGAAAGAACUGGUCUCCCUGUAUUAUUACAAGAAAAUGGAAAGACCAGGUCCAUGGAUUCGUGAUUUCAUGCAUGUAAGCUUACCCAGUCUCUCAUCAUUUUGUUAGUUUUUUCUUGCAUAUUAUCCUUCAAGACAAUAUUUUACCAAGUAAAAACCACCGAUUGACCUUUGCAUGCUCUAAAAAAGACUUUAUUUUAAAGUUCAAUUGUCUCCUUGUUUAGUAAUGAAUGUUAUUUUUCCAAGAUUUUGGUAAUUAAUAUCAUAUUUCCUUGUUUAGUUGAGUGUGAGAAAAGAAACGAAUGAAAAGCCAUGGCCUCCCGGUGGGUACGGUACCCUCCGCACACCCACAUUCACAAUUACCUAAUUACUGUAUUCAUAAUUCUCCGCUUUAAGGGAGGGAAUGCUUGAUAGAGGCGGCGACUGGAUCGUUAUAUGCAGCUACCACAGGAAUUUAUUCAAGUGAUCGGUAAAGGCUCCUUAUACUUGCAGUCUUCGGCCACUAAAGGCUCUUUUAAUAAGUGCAGAGGUGCGCCCUAAUUUGGAAUUGCUGGCCGUGUGGGAUUGGAUCGAGUGCGCGUGAGUGUUGAGUGCUUGGUGGGUCGUUGCGUGAGUGGAUGAUGCGCUUGUCCGUGUGCUUAUUGAAGUGCCUUGGCAGGGCCAUGUGCAAGUGAAGGUGCGGGCCCAUGGUUGCAAGUGAACGGUGCGAUCUUGAUCCAUGUGAAGAGAGCUUGGUCCAUGUGCGGGAGUGUUUCGGCGGGUCCAUGUGCGAUGGCGGGUCCAUGUGCGCGAUCUUGGCCCGUAAUUGAGAGGUGCGCUGGUCCAUGCGCAAGAACGGGCUGGAGUUGAAGUGCUGGCCACAUGUGUUUGUGAAUGGGCUGGAGUUGGAGCGAGUUGUCCAUGUGCGGUCCAAGGCGAAGUGAGCGUUGAAAUGGGCCAUGAGUGCAAGGUGGGCCGUCCAUGGUGCAAGAGCGUGUUGGCCCUGUGUGCAUCUAUGGGCUGUCCAUAAGCGGGCCCAAGUGCCAAAUUGCUUUAAAGUCCAAAGUAUUUCCCUCAUUUAGCUUGAUUUGGAUCCAAUUUGGCAGACUUGCUCUCUUUUAUUUAAAAUAAGGCAGUUUUAGGGGAAUUUUUUUCAAAUUGUCCUUUUACACCAUUUUCUGCAAAAUAAUAUCAAAAGCACUAAAUUAAGCAGAAAUCAUAUAAAUAUUCAUCAAUAAUAUUAAUAUAAAUUGGACUAAAUUAUGCUCUAUCAAAUACCCCCACACUUAGCCUUUUGCUUGUCCUCAAGCAAAUAAACAUAGUUAAACAAGCUCUCUUUGCUACUUGAUCCUUUAUUUCCACUUAAACUCUUAUUCAAGACACCUAUUUUGAAUCAUUGCGGUGAAGAAUAUAUGCAUGAAGAUUACUCACCUUCUUUCAUUGUUUCCCUUUACUUACCAUGACUAGGAUUUGUUUUACUCAAGAGAGAGAUCAUGCAUGCACAUAUUUGUUAAGACUUUUUCUAACUUUUAGAGUGACUUGCCCUUACUUUGAAGUACUUUAUUCAGCUUUUUGCACUUUUAAUUUUGCUUGAACAAGUCACCAACCUUUUGACGUGAAGGUACAUAUUUGUGAUACCCACCCCCAGUUACUCAGUUGGUCACCUAUCCAAGUGGCUACUAGCUU